RNAcentral lists this long non-coding RNA (576 nucleotides) under Pan troglodytes (chimpanzee). Its description in RNAcentral is "long non-coding RNA NONPTRT013044". The record is from RNAcentral. Lineage: Eukaryota; Metazoa; Chordata; Mammalia; Primates; Hominidae.
GCAGUCUCCGUUGUUGACGUUAGUCGCAGUCUUCGCUGCUAACGUUUUGUUAUGAGUUGCUAAAAUGGUGAAAUGCUGCUCCGCCAUUGGAUGUGCUUCUCGCUGCUUGCCAAAUUCGAAGUUAAAAGGACUGACAUUUCACGUAUUCCCCACAGAUGAAAACAUCAAAAGGAAAUGGGUAUUAGCAAUGAAAAGACUUGAUGUGAAUGCAGCCGGCAUUUGGGAGCCUAAAAAAGGAGAUGUGUUGUGUUCGAGGCACUUUAAGAAGACAGAUUUUGACAGAAGUGCUCCAAAUAUUAAACUGAAACCUGGAGUCAUACCUUCUAUCUUUGAUUCUCCAUAUCACCUACAGGGGAAAAGAGAAAAACUUCAUUGUAGAAAAAACUUCACCCUCAAAACCGUUCCAGCCACUAACUACAAUCACCAUCUUGUUGGUGCUUCCUCAUGUAUUGAAGAAUUCCAAUCCCAGUUCAUUUUUAUAUCCAUGUUCAAGAGGAAAUGUUUGUUCAAGGCAAAAAAUUAUUUCUCAGUAAUCAUCAUAGCUAACAUUUAUAAGGUGCCAAUCUUUAUUCAAAG